RNAcentral lists this long non-coding RNA (251 nucleotides) under Homo sapiens (human). RNAcentral's name for it is "LNC_000542". Lineage: Eukaryota; Metazoa; Chordata; Mammalia; Primates; Hominidae. The record is from RNAcentral.
GCUCUGAGUCAGUUCUCCAGGUAAGGCUAGUUCUUUCACUAGGUUUACAAAUUCAUGAGUAUUACUCUUGUCAUUGAAAAGUUCAAUUUGACCUACAAAUUCAAUUCUAAUUCCUUGGUGUUCUAGCCUCUUUCCAGGUUGCUUAAAGGCUAGGUUUACCUUUCCUGAAACGGAUUCUCCGUCAUAGAAGAGAUAGUGUUUUUCUACUUUGCCAUCUUCAGUUUUCAUUUCUGCCAUUUUCCUGGUUUCCC